UAAGAAAUGGAAGUACCAGUGUGUACCUAAGUCGGUACAAAUGCUUGUCGCUGGGGCAGUACCCUUUUGAAGUACAAUACUGUACCCAUGAAUGCAGGUACAUUUGUGUACCCUAGCCAUCUGUACCCAUCAAGGUACACUUGUGUACCUGCAAUGACUAAAAUGUACCUGUAUAUAUCAUUAUCACAUAGUACCCUUAAAAGGUACUAUUCUGUACUUUAAGGGUACAACCCCAGUGAAAAUUUAAGGUGGUAUAACUAAAAUAUAUGCACAACCAAUAAGUACAUUUAAAUGUUUAUUCUGGGGGGAUAUUACACACAAUACUUCACAUGAAUACAGGUACAAUAAAUGUUAACAUGUUCAUAUUAAAAACACAUUCAUAUCAAAACAUCAAAGUAUCUUAUAUCCAUAUCAAUAUACAUAUUCACGUAAAACAUGUUAUGACUCAAUGUUAUGACUCAAUGUAAGUGUAAAUAAUAAAACACUUUGGUUUACAAUAUUUUGCCUGAGUAGCCACAUUGUGUUUAUACGCAGAAGGAAAAAAAUAUAUUAAUUUGCACGAUAGCACUAAUAACACCUUUAUAUGAUCUAUAAAAUACCAAUAUUUGAGUUAGUAAUUACUCCAACAAACCUUGUAUGCUUUCAAGUUCAUGUUAAUACUCGUGUAUGAGUGAUGAAAAUAUAGUAUCUGCUUGCCAUAACCAUUACACGUUGCAAAAUUAACAAAGUCCUUGCAGUAACUUAGUAGCUAUGAUCUUAGAUCUCAUUCACAGUGCAUACACCAUAGAAUUGAGUGAACGAUAUGUGUGAUGUAAUGAAACACAAUGUGCAAGCCUUUGGGAAAUAUUAGCAAGCCUGUAAAAAUGUACAAUAUAUUGUUACAAUAUUCAUUACCUCACC
This is a long non-coding RNA of Alosa sapidissima (American shad), 900 nucleotides long. RefSeq lists it as uncharacterized. The record is from RefSeq and is a predicted model, not a curated record. Lineage: Eukaryota; Metazoa; Chordata; Actinopteri; Clupeiformes; Clupeidae. The transcript has 2 exons.